Molecule: long non-coding RNA, 351 nt
Organism: Rhinichthys klamathensis goyatoka
Lineage: Eukaryota; Metazoa; Chordata; Actinopteri; Cypriniformes; Leuciscidae
Exons: 3
Source: RefSeq, a predicted model, not a curated record
CUUAUUAAAUCUACUAUUAAAGUUCUCACAAGACUCUUAUUUUCACAGCACCCGUUCACUGCAGAUGAUCCAUUGGAAUCAAGCAGGGAGGCAACAACAUCAACAAGGACAAGUAAUGACAGUGGAGUCAAUCAACAAAUUUUGGCUGAAUUAAAAGAGAUUAAGAGUGUUCUUGUGGAAACUCUAACACUUUUAAAAAAUGGAUGCACUCCAUUAAUGACUGCACCAGCACACACUCUCCCUGGAUGCACUUCGGAUUUGCCAGCCCCAGAGUCUUCCCCUGUGGUACCUGCCCCUUCCUCUCUACUGCCUCUUCAUGUAAAGGAGACUAGGAGUAAUUAUAAUGACUGC